This 72-nucleotide transfer RNA is filed under the name Nautiliaceae bacterium. RNAcentral's name for it is "tRNA-Phe". It matches the Rfam family "tRNA". From Rfam's summary of the family: Transfer RNA (tRNA) molecules are approximately 80 nucleotides in length. Their secondary structure includes four short double-helical elements and three loops (D, anti-codon, and T loops). Further hydrogen bonds mediate the characteristic L-shaped molecular structure. tRNAs have two regions of fundamental functional importance: the anti-codon, which is responsible for specific mRNA codon recognition, and the 3' end, to which the tRNAs corresponding amino acid is attached (by aminoacyl-tRNA synthetases). tRNAs cope with the degeneracy of the genetic code in two manners: having more than one tRNA (with a specific anti-codon) for a particular amino acid; and 'wobble' base-pairing, i.e. permitting non-standard base-pairing at the 3rd anti-codon position. Lineage: Bacteria; Pseudomonadati; Campylobacterota; Epsilonproteobacteria; Nautiliales; Nautiliaceae. The record is from RNAcentral.
GGGAGGGUAGCUCAGCGGGAGAGCGUUCGGCUGAAGACCGAUGAGUCCCGGGUUCAAAUCCCGGCCCUCCCA